GCUGGGUGAGUGGGGGGAGGGGAUGGAUGCUGCUGGGUAGGUGAUUCGUAUGAUUCUAGUGGCGGUGGUGCAAAUUCAGCAGCAGCAGCAUCACCAGUGAGUGGAGCUGUGAGCGCACUGACGGCUGGCGUCGCCAGCAACUGCUCAAACAAGCGGAGACAUUUUCAGUAGCUGGGUAGCAGGGAUCGACUCCAGACGUGUCCACUAGAGAACGACAACACCUUCUUUCGCGUCAACGUUAUGGUUUUUUGUUUAUAAAAGGAAAGUGAGUAGAUCGCGUAAGGGGUAGGGCGAGGUAAAAUUAAUCUUAUAAAUGUGGCUGUAACAGACGGGAAUAUAAAGUGGGGGGGGAAAGAAGAUUUUUUUGGGAUCAUUGGUGUUAAGAGUCCCGGAAGACAAAACACAAUUAACGAAAGUAGGAGUAGUGAUAUUAGGGAGAGGAUUUCUUCUUGUCGUGGUAGGAGAUUCUUGGCCUUUGUCUUUUUUUAUUCCUCUCUUUCUCUUACCGUUCCUGUAAAGUAUAAGUAGCGUCCCAGAGGCUAAGGCCUAGGGUCAAAGGUUGAGGGUAUGAGGCAGACAACACAGGCGACUGCAACGCCUGAGGACCGUUGCUCGAACGAAGCUCCUAGUUCUUCCUUCUGGUUCCUACCGGGAGGUGGUUGUUGUUCCUGUCUUUGUAUUCCGAUCAGAAGACAACAGCAGCAGCAACAACAACAACAACAACAGCAGCAGCAGCAACGCCAUCCAUCGCCUCAGCAACCCCUGGCGACGGCGUCCCCGAACAACGCUGCAACCACCAGCAUGGUCCAGAUGUUCUACUACGAGAACAGAGGCAAAUGUUGUAAGAAGCUCCUUAGAUACAACGGGUACCCCAGCAAGGUGCUGCUGUUCCCAGAGGAGGGGUGGGCUCGAAGUGCUUCCUCCUCUUACUGGACCCUGACGCCAGCUUGGUGGAGUCGUAGUCGCUGCAAAGUCGUAGAAGUAGCUGGAACCAGAAGUCCGAUGGCCCUCAGUCCUCAAGGCGCUGCGCGUGGGUGUGUUUUUUCCUCGGAAGUCACACGAAUGGACUGAUGGCUGGCUCGCUUAAUUCGGUGCAAGGCAGUGGAUGUCGGAGGACUGCGCGUAGAUAUUUUUCAGCAUCAGUGGUAUCAUGUGAUUGAGCUCUUCACUGUAAAAUAUUGCUCAUAAGUUUCAUCCAUAAGCAAGGUGCUAAGAUUCGUCUUUUCCUGAGUGGAAAAACCUUUCUGCGACGUCUGCAUUAAUAAGGCACUCAAUUAGUGGGACACGUCAUGUGUGCUGACUUAAACACAUGAGGACGAGUGCGAAGGUUUCCAAACAACAGAGCAAACUUUUACAUGGGGCAGUACGACACCUUGUUGAAAGUCUCUGCGCAGCAAAGCACGACGACCUUGGCUGCAGAUGAGGAGUGACGGCGAUGUUGAACGCGUGCUACGGGGCAUUUGUUAUUCUUAUUACCUUUCUUGAUGAUUCAUUAUUGUUUGUCCCUUUUACUUUACUUUAAACAUAUUUAUACCCUGCGUCACCAAAUGCUUGUUUCAUUUACAAAAGUAUGAAACUGGUUUGGACGCAGGUUUGUACUCGGGGUGUUUAAACGUAAACUUUACGUGUGAAUUUCAUUUAGGACCGUAUCGGUUUUUGGUAACUCUCACUUUACACGAAGUUUAUAUUAAAAUUUAAUUUUUAUUACACUCCUUUGAAUAUGAAGUAUAUCGAAACAUGCUGUGAACGAGGUCUUUUGUUGUUUCAAAUACCAUUUUAUUAUACGAUGUUUAGUGGUAUUUCUGGUGAAUUGCCUUGAACACAGGAAAUUAAGAUGCAAUUGUUGCUUGGAAUUAAUUUACAGUUCUUGCAAGCUUAACUAGGGGUUACAACCGCUUGUCUGUGAGGUAUAGGCUUAUAUAUAAGAGGAAAUUGAUUAAUUCGUGACAAAUAUUUUUUUUUUAACUUACACAACAUUAAUUUACCAUAUUACAUGUAAGACUUAAUCCGUUGUGUCUAAGUCACCUUAAAAUAUCAGCGAUCUCAGUCGAUAUUUAUAUGUACAUGGAUUACGCUUACAAGGACUUCGUUAUCGAAUCGUUUGCUGAUGGCCGUUCAUCUGACUGAGAGUUAAUUGAAUUAUUGUUUAUUAGUUUAUAAUGAGCACUAUUUAUUAACAGAUUGUUGUUUUAUUUAUAUUUUUGUCGUGCAUUCUGAUGCAAUAUUGAAAGUAAUUAGAAAUUGUAUUAUAUUAUCCUUUGACCUUUAGCUAAAGAAACAAAUUUGUAUAACGUCGGUACACUGUCAGCGGUAAAUUAACGUCCCUGAAUAGAACUGCCUCAAAAUGGUUUUUCCAGUCACAAAUCGGUCAUGAACUGGAAAGCUUUUUGAUCCGAACUUGCUUUGGAACAUUUGCAUUGUACUUGUUUCCCUCUCUUUCUCUCUUUAUGCAUCUGUACUUGAUGUAUUUAGCAGAGAAUACAUUUCUGCUAGUUCAUUUUCACGGACUGAUAACCACAUUCUUGGAACGUUUUGCUCAAAGCUGUUAUAGUAACACUCCAUACAGGAGUCUCUUGAUGAAUUCUGAGUUGUUUAAAGUUUGUAACCGAUUUUAUAGUCAUGCUUUGAAAAUUGUAAUGUACGUCUGUUUGUUCCACGAUCUUCAAAAUUAAACCUGAAUGAUGUUUUUUAUCGCCGUUGAACAUCAAAUGCGAUGUGAUCUAGUUAAUGUUCUAAACAAAUUAGUUUGAACUUUAACCCUCAAUAAAUAUGAGUUAUAAGUUCA
This is a non-coding RNA of Zootermopsis nevadensis, 2785 nucleotides long. NCBI's taxonomy places the organism in Eukaryota, Metazoa, Arthropoda, Insecta, Blattodea, Termopsidae. The record is from RefSeq and is a predicted model, not a curated record.